RNAcentral lists this unclassified non-coding RNA (445 nucleotides) under Hevea brasiliensis (rubber tree). Lineage: Eukaryota; Viridiplantae; Streptophyta; Magnoliopsida; Malpighiales; Euphorbiaceae. The record is from RNAcentral.
ACAAAGAGGUCAAGAAGAAAGAAGGUAUAUAAUUUUAUCUUCUGUUUAAAAUCUCGUUAUCUGCCCUGGCUACUUCAAACCCUUCUUUGUUUUGUGGUGUAAUGCUUCUAUGCUUUCAAAUUAGGGUCUAUUUGGCAUUUCAAAAUUAGGGUGUAUUUGGCAAUUAUAUUAAAGCAAUAUAUUAAUUAAAGGGUAUUAAAAAAGUUGGUUUAAAGUUAAAUUUAAUAUGUUGUGAUCCUAAGAACUGCAACACAAUUAAGCAAAAUUUUUCUUAGACUCCGCUUGUUUCCUGGAAUUUUUUUUUAAAAUAAAUUUCUCUUUUGAAGUCUUUUUUUAAAUUUUGAUAAUUUUAUUAAAAAGUAAAAAUAUUUAUAAAUUGUAAUUUAUGUAACUUGAAUUUUGAAUAUAUUUUUAUGUGACUCAAUCCGAAAUUUCUUGUUGUGAC